This 62-nucleotide transfer RNA is filed under the name Ditylum brightwellii. Lineage: Eukaryota; Bacillariophyta; Thalassiosirophyceae; Lithodesmiales; Lithodesmiaceae. The record is from RNAcentral.
GGGGAUUCACAACGAAGGCUACAAUGUGAGACAUCCACAUUUUGUUCGUAACUUCGUUUCAC